Molecule: ribosomal RNA, 405 nt
Filed under: uncultured bacterium
Lineage: Bacteria
Description: partial 16S ribosomal RNA
Rfam family: Bacterial small subunit ribosomal RNA
Source: RNAcentral
AUUGAACGCUGGCGGCAGGCUUAACACAUGCAAGUCGCACGAGUCGCGGACGGGUGAGUCAUGCUUGGGAAUCUAGCUUAGGGAGGGGGAUAACUACGGGAAACUGUAGCUAAUACCGCCUACCAUAGGAUGAGACCUGGUGGGAUUAGGUAGUGGGUGAGGUAAAGGCUCACCAACCCGACAAUCUCUAGCUGGUCUGAGAGGAUGAACAGCCACACUGGGACUGAGACACGGUCCAGACUCCUACGGGAGGCAGCAGUGGGGAAUAUUGCGCAAUGGGGGCAACCUGACGCAGCCAUGCCGCGUGAAUGAAGAAGGCCUUCGGGUUGUAAAGGUCUUUCGGUAGCGAGGCGUUAACUACAGAAGAAGCACCGGCUAACUCCGUGCCAGCAGCCGCGGUAAUUC